CCUACGGGGGGCAGCAGUGAGGAAUAUUGGUCAAUGGACGAGAGUCUGAACCAGCCAAGUAGCGUGAAGGAUGACUGCCCUAUGGGUUGUAAACUUCUUUUAUAUGGGAAUAAAACGUUCCACGUGUGGGAUUUUGUAUGUACCAUAUGAAUAAGGAUCGGCUAAAUCCGUGCCAGCAGCCGCGGUAAUACGGAGGAUCCGAGCGUUAUCCGGAUUUAUUGGGUUUAAAGGGAGCGUAGGUGGAUUGUUAAGUCAGUUGUGAAAGUUUGCGGCUCAACCGUAAAAUUGCAGUUGAAACUGGCAGUCUUGAGUACAGUAGAGGUGGGCGGAAUGCGUGGUGUAGCGGUGAAAUGCUUAGAUAUCACGAAGAACUCCGAUUGCGAAGGCAGUUCACUGGACUGCAACUGACACUGAGGCUCGAAAGUGUGGGUAUCAAACAGGAUUAGAUACCCUAGUAGUC
This 460-nucleotide ribosomal RNA is filed under the name uncultured bacterium. Its description in RNAcentral is "partial 16S ribosomal RNA". It matches the Rfam family "Bacterial small subunit ribosomal RNA", at positions 338 to 795 of the family's 1533-position model. The record is from RNAcentral.